AAGGCAGUAAGCGGUGCGCAGUGUUUACAGAGGAAAGCGCAUCAGUUGUUCCUACCAAAUGGGACCCGCGCUUUCUAGAGAAGUCAAUGACCAUGAAGAGGAAGCAGGAUUGCUUAUUGGCGGCUUUGUGCUUUGUGAACAAACCAUGGUAACACCAGGACCUGACUGUGACUCAGAACUCCAGGGGUCCACAUGAAAGACACCAAGACACCUGAGAAAGGAACAGAAACUAACCAGGAGCCCCCAGGAGCCACUGCUCCGCCCUGUCAUGCCAGGUGGGGCUGCUAACAGCUCCACCCCAGACUUAGAACCUGAUAGGGAGGCUUGCCCUACUGGGCGGGCCUUGGAGAAAAGAAAACCAAUCCUCUAGCCCUU
This is a long non-coding RNA of Rattus rattus (black rat), 375 nucleotides long. RefSeq lists it as uncharacterized. NCBI's taxonomy places the organism in Eukaryota, Metazoa, Chordata, Mammalia, Rodentia, Muridae. The transcript is spliced from 2 exons. The record is from RefSeq and is a predicted model, not a curated record.